AUUUAAUAAUACAUGCCAUGCAAGAGCUCAGGUCUUAGGAGGUUAAAGCUGUUUAGCAGAUCUUUAAGCUGAAGAUUUCCUAACAUUCAUUCCUUUUGCAGUUAGAAGCAGUGGAGCUGUAGAAUUGAAGACAGAAUACCAGUUGGUGUGUAUGUUGCUGUGUGUGAGGCUAUUCCUCAUAGAAGACUGGACUGCAUUUAAGACUCCCGAGUCCUAGAGUCACCUUUCCCACGUGCUGUUCCUAUAGGCGGAACCUGGGAAGGCUGAUACGUACCGGGCCCCUGGUUUCAAAAACACGCUAUCCGUUAACACCGCAAGGUGGAACUAGCAUGCCCAGGAAGCAGAAGAGUUCUCCGUUGAUUCUCUGGUCUGUGUUGAAUGCUAGAAGUCUGCAAAUAAACUGACUCACCUUAGCUACCAUGUGCAGAGUGAAUUGCACACCAGCAGAUCUCCACCAGGUUGUUGCAGGCUCCCAUGUUCUAGUGUCAGCCAUCAUCCCAAGGAAGGAGAACCUGGACCAGCCACAACAAACUGCUGCCUUCCAGGUCUCCACACACUUCAUGGGAUUCAAACCAUCACCCCUAAAAUGAGAGCAAAGAGCCAUUCUAGUGCCAUCAUACACCGCAAGACCUCUAGAAUGCUCAGCUUAUAUAGUCCAAGAAGAGAAGACUUACCCAAAGCUGCCACCAUUGGAUCAAACUUAGCAGGCAGCAGUUCAACAAUACACACCUCAUUCUGACUCAUGGUGCUGAUUUUCUACAUGUUUGCUAUCUCAUUCUAAUCCAUCCAGUUUGACAGAGGAGCUCAUGCUAAUCACAAUAGUGUAUGGUUUGUUAGGGAUUGCAACAAAAUCAGCUGAACUAGAAGCUGAAAUCUGCACCCCCACCAUGCAAUGCAUUCUGGGUAAUGCUGAUGGCAAUUUUAAAGUCCAUUUCUGAUGUUCAUAACAGCAUUAACAUAUAUGUCUGGCAUAGCAGAAGCUCAGAGAUGAGAUUGAGAUUCAGACUUAGAAAGAGUUAGAAGAAAAAUAAAAUGAAAUGAAAAAGCAGACUUUCACAACUAAAUCUUAAUCUUCAGUUGCAUUCCUGCAAAAGUUCUUCAUCCAACAGAAGCUCAGAUAUUAGAUUUUAAAGCUGAACUGUGAUUUCUUUCCAAAGAAGUGAAUUUAAAUAGAAGUAAAAGGAAAAAAUAAUUUUUUAAAUGACUUUUAAAGCCAAUUCCUCCUGGGCAGAGCACAAGGCAAAAUCCUUCAUCCAAUAGAAACUCAUGAGAUUUUAAAGCUGAGCUGUGAUUUUUGUCUUCAAAACAGAGCGUGAAGACAAAUAAACGAAAUAAAAUAUGGUUAACACUCAGGGAUGAACCCAGUGUUUCCAGAAAGCAGGAGAUUGAACUGGACCUUCAGCUCAACCGUCUGCUGCCAGUUUGAUUGUUAAUUGUGUUUAUUUCUAUUUGAAUGUUCAGUCUAUGCAGCUACAAUGAAUUAGUAACACAGAUGCUUUUUAUUUGUUCUCCAAUGACAAACUGUGGCAGCAGCUGAGCAUAAAGUGAAAGACAGCGAGGCCAAUUCAAACGUCACUAUGACGACGCCAUUGAGGAACAAAGAUGAAUCUCUGAGGCGAAUGUUGUACAGGGGAAAAUACGAUUGUGUUUUUAUUUUUACUUUUGUUGUGCUUUGCAUGCUUGGGGUUUGUCUUUUCUUUUUUCCCCUUUAACAAUCCAAACGCACUGGACUGAAGGUGCUUGUCUAGGGAGGCGGAGCGCACUAAUUGGCCGCCGAUACAGGUGUCAGCAGAGGCUAAUUAAAGCCAAAAUAAAAGGAGCCUGGAUGGAAUGGGGGGAGAAGGAAAACAACCAGUUUCUGUAGGCUACAGAAACUGACACGCUGCGGAACGAGGGGAAGACGGAACCUGCACGUCAGGCGCAGAAGACCGGGAGUUGAACAAACGGUCCAGUACAGAGGAUUAGGGCAGAGGGGAACCUCUGCCCGCGCCACUGGAUCGGGCGGAAGAGGGGCGUUACAUGCAGAAGAGUGGAGCGGUGCUGAAGCGUCGCGCAGCCAGCUGUGGAUCGGCAACAGAGUGCGCUGCAGACGGAUUACCUCCACCAGAAGCAACCUAAGAAGCAGAGCCCAGCCCGUGGCCUCGGAUUGGUGACUUUAAUUAAGGACAAUUACUGAGCCCUGGAUUUUAUUGAGAAAUAGAGGACGGUUUUAUUGUGUAACUAUUUGUGACUUUUUUGGUAAUAAAAUACCUUGCGCCUGA
Long non-coding RNA from Xiphophorus hellerii (green swordtail), 2261 nucleotides. RefSeq lists it as uncharacterized. The transcript is spliced from 2 exons. The record is from RefSeq and is a predicted model, not a curated record. Lineage: Eukaryota; Metazoa; Chordata; Actinopteri; Cyprinodontiformes; Poeciliidae.